Molecule: ribosomal RNA, 420 nt
Filed under: uncultured bacterium
Lineage: Bacteria
Description: bacterial SSU rRNA
Rfam family: Bacterial small subunit ribosomal RNA
Source: RNAcentral
GAGGAAUAUUGGUCAAUGGGCGUAAGCCUGGACCAGCCAAGUAGCGUGCAGGAUGACGGCCCUAUGGGUUGUAAACUGCUUUUAUGCGGGGAUAAAGUGCGGGACGUGUCCCGCUUUGCAGGUACCGCAUGAAUAAGGACCGGCUAAUUCCGUGCCAGCAGCCGCGGUAAUACGGAAGGUCCGGGCGUUAUCCGGAUUUAUUGGGUUUAAAGGGAGCGUAGGCCGUGUAUUAAGUGUGUUGUGAAAUGUAGAUGCUCAACAUCUGAACUGCAGCGCAUACUGGUGCACUUGAGUACGCACAACGUAGGCGGAAUUCGUCGUGUAGCGGUGAAAUGCUUAGAUAUGACGAAGAACUCCGAUUGCGAAGGCAGCUUACGGGAGCGCAACUGACGCUGAUGCUCGAAGGUGCGGGUAUCGAAC